This 344-nucleotide ribosomal RNA is filed under the name uncultured bacterium. RNAcentral's name for it is "bacterial SSU rRNA". It matches the Rfam family "Bacterial small subunit ribosomal RNA", at positions 1 to 334 of the family's 1533-position model. The record is from RNAcentral.
CUGUACAGUUCAGAGUUUGAUCCUGGCUCAGGACGAACGCUGGCGGCGUGCCUAACACAUGCAAGUCGAACGGGGUUAAAUGAAGGUUUACUGGAUUUUAACUUAGUGGCGAACGGGUGAGUAACGCGUGAGAAACCUGCCUCUCAUGGGGGACAACAGUUGGAAACGACUGCUAAUACCGCAUAACACUUUAGUACCGCAUGGUACAGAAGUCAAAGCUUUAUGUGCUGAGAGAUGGUCUCGCGUCUGAUUAGCUAGAUGGCGGGGUAACGGCCCACCAUGGCGACGAUCAGUAGCCGGUCUGAGAGGAUGAACGGCCACAUUGGGACUGAGAUACGGCCCAG